This 526-nucleotide ribosomal RNA is filed under the name uncultured bacterium. RNAcentral's name for it is "bacterial SSU rRNA". It matches the Rfam family "Bacterial small subunit ribosomal RNA", at positions 980 to 1509 of the family's 1533-position model. The record is from RNAcentral.
CCUGACAUACUAAGAACUUCCAGAGAUGGAUUGGUGCCUUCGGGAACUUAGAUACAGGUGCUGCAUGGCUGUCGUCAGCUCGUGUCGUGAGAUGUUGGGUUAAGUCCGCAACGAGCGCAACCCUUUCCUAUUUGCCAGCGGGUAAUGCCGGGAACUUUAAGGAUACUGCCAGUGACAAACUGGAGGAAGGCGGGGACGACGUCAAGUCAUCAUGGCCCUUACGGCCAGGGCUACACACGUGCUACAAUGGUCGGUACAAAGGGUUGCUACCUCGCGAGAGGAUGCUAAUCUCAAAAAGCCGAUCGUAGUCCGGAUCGCAGUCUGCAACUCGACUGCGUGAAGUCGGAAUCGCUAGUAAUCGCGGAUCAGAAUGCCGCGGUGAAUACGUUCCCGGGCCUUGUACACACCGCCCGUCACACCAUGGGAGUUUGUUGCACCAGAAGUAGGUAGUCUAACCGCAAGGAGGACGCUUACCACGGUGUGGCCGAUGACUGGGGUGAAGUCGUAACAAGGUAAGCGUAGAUGA